GACGAACGCUGGCGGCGUGCUUAACACAUGCAAGUCGAACGGAAAGGCCCUGCUUUUGUGGGGUGCUCGAGUGACGAACGGGUGAGUAACACGUGAGUAACCUGCCCUUGACUUUGGGAUAACUUCAGGAAACUGGGGCUAAUACCGGAUAGGAGCUCCUGCUGCAUGGUGGGGGUUGGAAAGUUUCGGCGGUUGGGGAUGGACUCGCGGCUUAUCAGCUUGUUGGUGGGGUAGUGGCUUACCAAGGCUUUGACGGGUAGCCGGCCUGAGAGGGUGACCGGCCACAUGGGGACUGAGAUACGGCACAGACUCCUACCGGAGGCAGCAGUGGGGAAUAUUGCACAAUGGGCGGAAGCCUGAUGCAGCAACGCCGCGUGCGGGAUGACGGCCUUCGGGUUGUAAACCGCUUUCGCCGGUGACGAAGCGUGAGUGACGGUAAUGGGUAAAGAAGCACCGACUAACUACGUG
This 468-nucleotide ribosomal RNA is filed under the name uncultured bacterium. RNAcentral's name for it is "partial 16S ribosomal RNA". It matches the Rfam family "Bacterial small subunit ribosomal RNA", at positions 28 to 507 of the family's 1533-position model. The record is from RNAcentral.